Molecule: ribosomal RNA, 252 nt
Filed under: uncultured microorganism
Description: partial 16S ribosomal RNA
Rfam family: Bacterial small subunit ribosomal RNA
Source: RNAcentral
UACGUAGGGUGCGAGCGUUAAUCGGAUUUACUGGGCGUAAAGCGUGCGCAGGCGGCCCGUUAAGACAGGUGUGAAAUCCCUGGGCUCAACCUAGGAAUUGCGCUUGUGACUGGCGGGCUCGAGUACGGUAGAGGGGGUGGAAUUCCUGGUGUAGCAGUGAAAUGCGUAGAGAUCAGGAGGAACACCGAUGGCGAAGGCAGCCCCCUGGGCCUGUACUGACGCUCAUGCACGAAAGCGUGGGGAGCAAACAGG